AUUGACUAUCCGCUAAACAUUUAAACAAGUAAAAUCAAAAAAGGUGAAAACAGACACACACACCGAUUCAAACACCCCACACACAAAACACUCCUCACACACAACAUGCACACAAACGUGUGUGUGUGCGCAGUCUGUAGAUACACAGAUACAACGAAUAACAAAAGGGGGCGAUGCAUUCAUGAUGGGUUACCAUGCCUUUCGUUUAGGUAAUGACGGCCGUGCAUGCGUGUGUUUAUACCUGAUGUGUUUCUUCAGUCUGGCUGAUUGCCUGUCACAGUAUGUGCUGGAACCUUGACGGAAGCUUUGCAACACGCAUCCCAGGUGGAGCUUUAGUGUGUGUGUGUGUGUGUUUUAAGAGUGUGUGUUGUUUGUCAGAACCCCCACAGGCUGUGGCUGGUGUGCCGUUGUGUAAAGUCUCGGAGACGGAAGACGUUUGGAAUGUAUCCUUUAUUGAUGCACUGAAUGGUUUGCCGUGUGCGUCUCUGUGUGUGUGUUGUUUGUGUGUGUGUGUGUGAAGAUUUCUCUGCAGGUACCCAGCUGUGCAGAGGACAGUGUUGAUUGCUCUCAGAUAACAUGCAUUAUUCUCGCUAUGCACACGCUGGCCGGCUAUUCUUUCCUCCUAAUGUCCCUCAAAUAUGCGGACAACAAACUUAGAGAUGUUUUGUAAAGGGCCACGAGAAUUUGGCUUUCCACAGGAGAACAAAGGCUGCGGGCCAAUGCGUGUCCUCAAACUAAUACAUCUACUCAGACAUUCAAACUCCCACCUGACAUGAGGUCCACGAGCCAAUCGGAGCAGAUAGACAGAGGCUGCGCUGAUGCCCAGAAACAUGAAGAAGAACUGCGGAAUCAGCUGAAAGAUACAGAGCCCAAGAUCAGUGAUGGGAUGUCCACGGGGCAGGUGUGGGGUCGUGUGAUGUUUCCUCAGCGUUUAACUGAUGUGACACCUUCCCCUCCAAGACGCCCUUGAGCCGUCUACCUGUGAACACAGUCUGCUUCCCAUGAUGCUCGGUGUCAACAACAAAGAGAUUAGCGGUACCCGAAGAGGACCGACAGCAUUUCCAAUCAGCUCAACUGUGUAGAUAUGACAUCCACGUGACCGAGAGGCUGACCUGGGUGACCUUGAGACCGCA
Triplophysa dalaica is the source of this 1133-nucleotide long non-coding RNA. RefSeq lists it as uncharacterized. The record is from RefSeq and is a predicted model, not a curated record. NCBI's taxonomy places the organism in Eukaryota, Metazoa, Chordata, Actinopteri, Cypriniformes, Nemacheilidae. The transcript is spliced from 3 exons.